UCGAGAAUUUUUCUCAAUGGGGGAAACCCUGAAGGAGCGACGCCGCGUGGAGGAUGAAGGUUUUCGGAUUGUAAACUCCUGUCAUUGGUGAACAAGACUGUCGAUUAACUGUCGAAUAGUUUGCUAGUAGCCGAAGAGGAAGGGACGGCUAACUCUGUGCCAGCAGCCGCGGUAAUACAGAGGUCCCGAGCGUUGUUCGGAUUCAUUGGGCGUAAAGGGUGCGUAGGCGGCGGGGCAAGUCUGAUGUGAAAUCCCGGGGCUCAACCCCGGAACUGCAUUGGAUACUGCCUUGCUAGAGUACUGGAGAGGGAACUGGAAUUUACGGUGUAGCAGUGAAAUGCGUAGAGAUCGUAAGGAAGGCCAGUGGCGAAGGCGAGUUCCUGGACAGUAACUGACGCUGAGGCACGAAGGCCAGGGGAGCAAACGG
Molecule: ribosomal RNA, 427 nt
Filed under: uncultured bacterium
Lineage: Bacteria
Description: bacterial SSU rRNA
Rfam family: Bacterial small subunit ribosomal RNA
Source: RNAcentral